UCACACAAGUAACAGCACAGACAUGACGGCACCCACUCAACUUCUGGUAUUGCUGCUGCUCUGGUUUACAGGUGCCAGAUGUAACAUCCAAAUGACUCAGUCUCCAUCCUCCCUGUCUGCAUCUCUCAGAGAAACUGUCACCAUCACAUGCCUUGCAAGUGAGAAUAUUUAUGGGUAUUUAGCCUGGUAUCAGCUGAAAAAAGAGGGACGUCCUAAUCUCCUGAUUUAUGGUGCAACCAACUUGGCAGAUGGGGUCCCACCGAGGUUCAGUGGCAGUGGAUCUGGAACACAUUAUUCUUUUAAGAUAAACAGCCUGCAGGCUGAAGAUGUUGCAACUUACUUCUGUCAUCAGGAUUUUGAUACUCCCCACAGUGAUUGA
Mesocricetus auratus (golden hamster) is the source of this 379-nucleotide non-coding RNA. NCBI's taxonomy places the organism in Eukaryota, Metazoa, Chordata, Mammalia, Rodentia, Cricetidae. The record is from the annotation of a RefSeq genome assembly.